RNAcentral lists this ribosomal RNA (468 nucleotides) under uncultured bacterium. RNAcentral describes it as "partial 16S ribosomal RNA". It matches the Rfam family "Bacterial small subunit ribosomal RNA", at positions 28 to 507 of the family's 1533-position model. The record is from RNAcentral.
GACGAACGCUGGCGGCGUGCUUAACACAUGCAAGUCGAACGGAAAGGCCCUGCUUUUGUGGGGUGCUCGAGUGGCGAACGGGUGAGUAACACGUGAGUAACCUGCCCUUGACUUUGGGAUAACUUCAGGAAACUGGGGCUAAUACCGGAUAGGAGCUCCUGCUGCAUGGUGGGGGUUGGAAAGUUUCGGCGGUUUGGGAUGGACUCGCGGCUUAUCAGCUUGUUGGUGGGGUAGUGGCUUACCAAGGCUUUGACGGGUAGCCGGCCUGAGAGGGUGACCGGCCACAUUGGGACUGAGAUACGGCGCAGACUGCUACGGGAGGCAGCAGUGGGGAAUAUUGCACAAUGGGCGGAAGCCUGAUGCAGCAACGCCGCGUGCGGGAUGACGGCCUUCGGGUUGUAAACCGCUUUCGCCGGUGACGAAGCGUGAGUGACGGUAAUGGGUAAAGAAGCACCGGCUAACUACGUG